UCCCCUCCCCCAGGCUCAUCUGAAUUCUAAGUAUAGACCCAUGAUGAAAGAUUUCAAAGGCAAUAGCCAUUGCUCCAAAAUAGCUUGGUUAAUGUUUGCAGACUGGUUCAGCUCUUUUCUCCCUCCUGCCUGUCCAAAAGGUGCCAUUCCUGUGAUUAAAACCAUUACAGUCCUUCAAAGGUUAUACAUGACUUUCAGGCUUCAGCCUCAGUAGCAGCAGAGCUCUGGACGGACUCCUUUCAACCUUAAAUUGCCUUUGGGGUGACAGUCAACUCUGGUUUUAGCCUUUAUAGUCAGUGCCUGAAAAAUUAGAUGGAAACGUAAGAUCUUCUUAUUCUACCCCAAGCAGUGAUAAUUAUAGGCUGUGUUCAAUACGAUUUCAUUUUUUAGAUGAAUAGACUGAAGACAAUGUCCUUGGACUCAAUGGCCAGACACCGUAGAAACUAGUUACAUUUUUUAGUUAAAUCACUUAUUCCAGAAGAUGAUUCUUCAUAGUCUCUUCCUAUUGAGCCAGAGACUUGGGAUGUUAAGUUUUGACAUUUUGUGCUGUUUUUACAUUUUUGCUAUGUGCAGCUGAAUAAUUCCUUAUAAAGUGUGAGAACCAUUUUUCUGUUUUUGGAAAAGUAGGAGGCACAGGGAGUAAUAAGAAGCCAAUACUUUUGUGACAUUUUCUCCUAUUUCUGCCAUUCCGCUGGUUGCUAAUAUCAGCAGUUAAGACUCCAGAUUGGAGGCUCCAAGAAUUCAGGGAAUAGCCUAACAUCUAUUAAGGAAAAUUACCCUGUGCUCUUAACCUCACUCUGUGCUGUAUCUUAUAAUGUGAAGACAAUUUGAAAAGUCAUUUUAACCAGUAAAGUUAUAUAGCAUUAUUAUUAUAUAGCUAAGAUUAUUAAGAUAACAAUAUCUGAAAUUCAUUUAUUCAACAUUUUUGGAGUACCUACUGAGUGCCAGAUAGUGUCCUGGGUGACAAGAAUAAAAUGGUGAAAAAUGAUCUCUUCUUAUGGAGUUGGAAUCUAGAAGGAUCUGGGCUAGAUGUUGUGAUUGGAAAAGCUGUGCUGUAUAAUUUCACAAUUCUGCCCCACUUACAGUAUCUACAAGGACUAGAAUUGAGGGUGAUCAAAGGAUUUCAGCAGAUGGAAGGUGUCUGAACAAAUACACGGAUGCUCUAUACACCUAGUCAAAACUACAGCUCACCUAUAAUCUACUGGGCAGCCAGCAGAUUCUGUGGACCAAACUGGAUUUCACCAAUAAGUGUUUUGUUUUGGGUUAGUGAGAAACAUCGCAUCACGAAGAAAGAAUGCAAGAAGCAAGGGCUGCUUUACACUUUACCAAUCUGUUGUGCUGUUCCUGGAAAUUUUUGCAUUUGAAGCUUGACAGAAGCCUUGCUUCUUUUUUCUUUAUCGCAUAAACACCCAAGCCCCUUGCCUUCUUGGAGCAGAUUCGAGACCUGCUCUCCCGUCUCCUCGCUUUGCUGCAAACCUCGGCAUCUCACCGUUUUAGCUUGCUGCACGUUGGACAAAACAAACCCGGCUUUCAAAUAGUAUCCUUUCAGACCCUCGUCCUUUCUUUUAUCAAAUCACCAAUGACUUUUCUCUGGUCCUCAAUACAAAUUAAAAAUAUUAUCCCAACCAGUGGCUAGUACUAUAUAGCUGACUCUAAAACUUCACUUUAUAAGGUAAACAUGCCACCUGAAUAAGGCAGAAGCAGUAGAGAAGAUGAAGACACUGCCAACAGCUGUGUGAAGAGAUGGGCAAAGGUUCUUAGUGAGGGGACCUAACGAAGAGGAGACAGAUGACAUAACACCAUUUAAAAAGAAGUCUUCACAGCCUGAGCUGUCAGCUUGCCAGGCAGAAUUAUUUAUUGUAUUCCACUGCCUUGGCUGAGAGACAAAGAAAGAAAGAGAAGACCGUCACUGAGGGACAUCUUGAGACUACCUGUGGCCAAAGUGAUGGAUGAGGCCCAUCCUUGGCCAAAGGGAAGCCACUUAGCAGAAUCUGGGAAUCACAUCCCUCUACACCAUGGUUCCUGAUGCUUGGUUUCCCUCUUUCAUUCCUGUUAACCUAGAUGUCUCAACUUUACCUUUCAGAUAAUUGGCUGAAUAUGUUGUUCUCAUAUCAAUAAUCUAUAUAAAACCAGCAAGCUAUGAGAUGAACAGCACACAGCAAACAACACAACAAAGUGAUCUCUUUUUAGCACCGCAUCCUCAAAAUGUCAUCUCUCUAAGACAUAUGAGCUAAUCCACUUGUACUAUGUUUCUUAUCUUCCAUUAGUAAAUAUACCGGGUUUCUUAUCUUCCAUCAGUAAAUAUACCGGGUCACCAUUUAGCUGUGAUAAUACGUAGUUUCUGAAUGCUAUAACCUAAAGGAAGUUAAGUUGAUGCCAUCAAAACAUUUUCUGUGGUGGUGUCAGGGUGUGAUCAACUCACCUAUCAAAUGCAGAAACACCUGACACAAUUUCAAAACCACAAGUCUAGUCAGCUGAUUUAAAAAUGAUUGAUUACGUAAAAUUAAUCAAACCAGUGAUUUUAUGGAAUUUAAGCAGACAGCACAGCCAACGAAAUUUAUAGGUUAUUCCCCUAUAAACAUUAAUGUAGCAAACCGUGUGCCGCUUCGUUCCUUCAAGAUCCAAAGUUUCCUUAACUAAGUGGAGGCUGCAGAAACUGGCUUUUUAUACAAUUAAUGUUCCACAACCAGAUGAGAAUUUCUAACUGAAAAGGGUGGAACAUUUUUUAUCUUCUUCCAGCCAUAACUAUCACUGAAAUCUAUUGCAUUCAUGAUAUACCGUGGAUAUACUGUGGAUCAGAACAACACACAAAGUUCCACUCUCUCAGAGCCUGACACAGAGGAAGUAGCUGUGAUUUACUCAGAGAAGUCCUAGGGAAACAAUUUCUCCUAAGAAAAUAUAUUUUUAAAAUCUUCCAUUAUAACUCAUCCAAAAAGAAGCUAUUAAGCAUUGAACACUUUAUCACUAUAAAAUAUUCUUUACCUAUAUUAUUUUACAUAAAUCUUUCAAGGCAGAUAAUAUCACCAUUUUCCAAACAAGGAAACUGAGGUUUAUAGAAAUUAAAUUAUUUUCUCAAGUGGUAGAGCCAAGAUUUGAAUCCAGGUCUAAAUCCUGCAUUUGUAUUGUAAUGGUUGUAAAAUUUGUGCCAGCAGAGCCACGUCAUUACUUAAUCUGGGCUGUGGUUUCCUCAUCUGUAAAGUGGAACUAACACUGGCACCUAACAGGGUUUCUGAACCUCAGCACUAUUGACUGUGGGUUAGAUAACGCUUUGCUGGAGGGGCUGUCCUAUGCGCUGUAGGAUAGGUAGCAGCAUCUCUGGCCUUUCCGCUCACUAGAUGCCACUAGCUCAGCCCGCACAAUUGUGACAACCCAACCGAAAAUGGCUCCAGACAUUGCCUAAUGUCCCCUGGAGAGUAAAAUCACUGGUUGAGAACCACUGACCUACAUUAAAGGAUAGCUGUGAAGAGCCCAUCAGUGAAUACAUACAAAGAGCCUCAGAGUAUGUCUGGCCCAGAAUAUUUAAUGUUAGAUAGGUUGGUGGUGAAGAAGGAGGAGGAGGGGGAAGAGAAGAAGUAGUAGCCGUAGUAGGGAGAGCAGGAGGGGGAGAGGAAGGAGGAGAAAAGGAAGAAGAAAUAUACUUGCAUCUGACUAAAUUGUAUUGAUGUUUUAUUCAGGCCUGACUGGGUGGAUAUAAUUGAAAACCUCAGAGUUGAUCAGAAAGAAAAUAAAAUUUUAAAAGACAGGUAAGCUUCUAUCUUUAGGAUUAUUUCAGGAAAAUUUCCAUAAUCCUUUUUUCUUUUUUUAUGAAGCAAAAAUGUUUUACAUAUAAGAUUACAUAUUAAACAGCCAAAUAAAUAUUCGCUUAGUGUAAUGUUCCACACAUCAGCCUAGACCAAAUACCCUAUUGAAGUCUAUGUCCAGAUUUGAAUAGAUGGAACAUCCAUCACUUAAAAGAGUAUUAUAAAUACUAUUUUUUCCUUAGUCAGGAUAAUUAACCUUGAAAUGAUUUUAUCCUUGAGAACAUUCGUCAUGGAUUAAUACAUUUACUAAUCAAUGUUACAGCUGUGAUUAAGCGUGUUGAGAUUAUAAAUGAAAUUAAACUACAAAAUAUGUCUUACCUAAAGUCUUAACAGGAUCAGAGUAAUCAGAGUCAGUAAAUUGUCCCAUGACAUUUGUGGCUCUAAAUUUAAAUCUAUGAAAUAAAAAACAACAAUUUACAUACCAUAUGACUUUUUUUUCUAUGAACAAUUUAACAAAUGGCUGUGAAAAAGACAUUUUUGUUAAAGAGAAAAUUAACUUACAAAGUGUAAACUUGGAAAUCAAUCACCAUCAGGACAAAUAAAUAAUAUCUUUACGUGAAAUUAUCUUGUACAUGGACCUCUUGAACUUCAUGAGAGAGUGACCAAAAAUUUGACCAGACUCAUGAAUAGUCAGCAGGUUAAUCAAAUGAAGUAGAUCACCUCCUCCACAGAUUUAUUUGGAUGAAACCACUGAAUGUCUGCACAAGCACACUUUAUAAAUAUAAAGCAUAAUAACUGUUACACCUCAGCCACCUUUGAAAAUGCCAGUAAGCCAGAUUUAGAAUAGUCAUAUAAAACUUAUCCUGUUCAAAUAUAAACAAAUGAAGAACAAUGCUUAAUUCCAAGUGUGCACAGCUGUAUUUUUACUUUCUGUGCUUUCAUGACAUAUGAAAUACAAAAUGGAUGCAGAAGAAAAUCAAUCUUAAAAAUCACUGGAUGAUUCUGUCACCACAGAGGCAACCGAAAUUUACCUUAUUUUAAAAGUAUGGGACUCCCCUGGUGGCACGGUGGUUAAGAAUCCACCUGCCAAUGUAUGGGACAUGGGUUCAAGCCCCAGUCCAGAAAGAUCCCACAGGCCUUGGACCAACUAAGCCCAUGCACCACAACUACUGAGCCUGUGCUCUAGAGCUCACGAGCCACAACUACUGAGGCUGCAUGCCACAACUACUGAAGUCUGUGCUCCUAGAGUCCAUGCUCCGCAACAAGAGAAGCCACCAUGGUGAGAAGCCCGCGCACCGCAACGAAAAGUAGCCCCCGCUCGCCACAACUAGAGAAAGCCCGCGGGCAGCAACGAAGACCCAACGCAGCCAAAAAUAAAUAAAUAAAUUUAUUUUAAAAAAGAAAUCCGUACUCUUUAAAAAAACAAAACUAUGAACCUACAAGAAUUUUAAAAUAUAAAACCAAUCUACAUUAAUAAAUUGCACUUCAGAAUUUAA
Molecule: long non-coding RNA, 5236 nt
Organism: Physeter macrocephalus (sperm whale)
Lineage: Eukaryota; Metazoa; Chordata; Mammalia; Artiodactyla; Physeteridae
Exons: 9
Source: RefSeq, a predicted model, not a curated record